This 254-nucleotide ribosomal RNA is filed under the name uncultured bacterium. Its description in RNAcentral is "partial 16S ribosomal RNA". It matches the Rfam family "Bacterial small subunit ribosomal RNA", at positions 524 to 776 of the family's 1533-position model. The record is from RNAcentral.
UACGUAGGGUGCGAGCGUUAAUCGGAAUUACUGGGCGUAAAGCGUGCGCAGGCGGUUUGUAAGCCAGAUGUGAAAUCCCCGGGCUUAACCUGGGAAUGGCAUUUGGGACUGCAAGGCUUGAGUGCGGCAGAGGAGACUGGAAUUCCUGGUGUAGCAGUGAAAUGCGUAGAUAUCAGGAGGAACACCGAUGGCGAAGGCAGGUCUCUGGGCUGACACUGACGCCUCAUGACACGAAAGCGUGGGGAGCAAACAGG